UAGGGAAUCUUCGGCAAUGGACGAAGGUCUGACCGAGCAACGCCGCGUGAGUGAAGAAGGUUUUCGGAUCGUAAAACUCUGUUGGUAGAGAAGAACGUUGGUGAGAGUGGAAAGCUCAUCAAGUGACGGUAACUACCCAGAAAGGGACGGCUAACUACGUGUCAG
RNAcentral lists this ribosomal RNA (165 nucleotides) under uncultured bacterium. RNAcentral describes it as "partial 16S rRNA". It matches the Rfam family "Bacterial small subunit ribosomal RNA", at positions 355 to 511 of the family's 1533-position model. The record is from RNAcentral.